Non-coding RNA from Acanthosepion pharaonis, 110 nucleotides. The record is from the annotation of a GenBank genome assembly. Lineage: Eukaryota; Metazoa; Mollusca; Cephalopoda; Sepiida; Sepiidae.
CAAUCAUAUCAUGUUGAAACCCCAGUUCCCAUGCAAUCACCGAAGUUAAGCAAUAUCGAGCCUGGUCAGUAACUAGAUGAGUAACUGCUUGAGAAUACCAGGUGCUGUUA